AACGAACGCUGGCGGCAUGCCUAACACAUGCGAGUCGAACGAGACCUUCGGGUCUAGUGGCGCACGGGUGCGUAACGCGUGGGAACCUGCCCUUAGGUUCGGAAUAACUCCCCGAAAGGGGUGCUAAUACCGGAUAAUGUCUUCGGACCAAAGAUUUAUCGCCUUUGGAUGGGCCCGCGUUGGAUUAGCUGGUUGGUAGGGUAAAAGCCUACCAAGGCGACGAUCCAUAGCUGGUCUGAGAGGAUGAUCAGCCACACUGGGACUGAGACACGGCCCAGACUCCUACGGGAGGCAGCAGUGGGGAAUAUUGGACAAUGGGCGAAAGCCUGAUCCAGCAAUGCCGCGUGAGUGAUGAAGGCCUUAGGGUUGUAAAGCUCUUUUACCCGGGAUGAUAAUGACAGUACCGGGAGAAUAAGCUCCGGCUAACUCCGUG
This 433-nucleotide ribosomal RNA is filed under the name uncultured bacterium. RNAcentral's name for it is "partial 16S ribosomal RNA". It matches the Rfam family "Bacterial small subunit ribosomal RNA", at positions 29 to 507 of the family's 1533-position model. The record is from RNAcentral.